GGCGAGGGGAGUGAAAAAGAACCUGAAACCGUGUACGUACAAGCAGUAGGAGCCCCACCACCAAAGCGUUUCGCUUUGCGUGGUGCGCAAAAUGCGUAACAACAGCGCGAUGGACGGUUAACGGAGCGUAAGCGACGUUCAACAUCAAAAAUCAGGCAGUGGAGCGUUUUGGGGUGGGGUGACUGCGUACCUUUUGUAUAAUGGGUCAGCGACUUAUAUUCUGUAGCAAGG
This 231-nucleotide ribosomal RNA is filed under the name Klebsiella michiganensis. Its description in RNAcentral is "partial 23S ribosomal RNA". It matches the Rfam family "Bacterial large subunit ribosomal RNA", at positions 528 to 645 of the family's 2925-position model. Lineage: Bacteria; Pseudomonadati; Pseudomonadota; Gammaproteobacteria; Enterobacterales; Enterobacteriaceae. The record is from RNAcentral.